UCCAACACAGGGGAACCCUGGGCCAACAGCUCCCUGAAUCUCCUCCAGGGCUUUGACUCGGGCCUCACUCUCAGCUGCAAGGCCUCUAACAUGCACGGGGUCCAGAGAUCCUCCAUCCUGCUGUUGCCAGGGAAGCCAGAGUUGCUGUCUGCAGCUGUUCCUGGGGCCCUAGGAGUGGCUGGUGCCCUGGCCCUGCUGUCCCUCUGCUUGUGCCUCAUUGCCAUCACCUGCAUGGUGAGAGUUCGCAGGAAGUUAGUGGCUGCAGGACCAGAGACGGUGGCCAGUG
This is a long non-coding RNA of Suncus etruscus (white-toothed pygmy shrew), 286 nucleotides long. RefSeq lists it as uncharacterized. The transcript is spliced from 3 exons. NCBI's taxonomy places the organism in Eukaryota, Metazoa, Chordata, Mammalia, Eulipotyphla, Soricidae. The record is from RefSeq and is a predicted model, not a curated record.